Molecule: ribosomal RNA, 289 nt
Filed under: uncultured bacterium
Lineage: Bacteria
Description: partial 16S ribosomal RNA
Rfam family: Bacterial small subunit ribosomal RNA
Source: RNAcentral
AAGCACUUUUAUCAGGAGCGAAAACCUGUCGGUUAAUACCCGGCGGGCCUGACGGUACCUGAGGAAUAAGCACCGGCUAACUUCGUGCCAGCAGCCGCGGUAAUACGAAGGGUGCAAGCGUUAAUCGGAAUUACUGGGCGUAAAGCGUGCGUAGGCGGUUUGUUAAGUCUGCUGUGAAAUCCCCGGGCUCAACCUGGGAAUGGCAGUGGAUACUGGCAGGCUAGAGUGUGUCAGAGGGUGGUGGAAUUCCCGGUGUAGCGGUGAAAUGCGUAGAGAUCGGGAGGAACAU